ACUGUGAUCCGGAGAUGUCUGAAUGGGGGAACCCAGCCAUCAUAAGAUGGUUAUCUUACACUGAAUACAUAGGUGUAAGAGGCGAACCAGGGGAACUGAAACAUCUAAGUACCCUGAGGAAAAGAAAUCAACCGAGAUUCCCUUAGUAGUGGCGAGCGAACGGGGACCAGCCCUUAAGUUGUAUUGAGAUUAGCGGAACGCUCUGGAAAGUGCGGCCAUAGUGGGUGAUAGCCCUGUACGCGAAAAUCCCUUUGCAAUGAAAUCGAGUAGGACGGGGCACGAGAAACCUUGUCUGAAUAUGGGGGGACCAUCCUCCAAGGCUAAAUACUACUGACUGACCGAUAGUGAACCAGUACCGUGAGGGAAAGGCGAAAAGAACCGCGGAGAGCGGAGUGAAAUAGAUCCUGAAACCGUAUGCGUACAAGCAGUGGGAGCCCACUUUGUUGGGUGACUGCGUACCUUUUGUAUAAUGGGUCAGCGACUUAUUUUCAGUGGCGAGCUUAACCGAAUAGGGGAGGCGUAGCGAAAGCGAGUCUUAAUAGGGCGUCUAGUCGCUGGGAAUAGACCCGAAACCGGGCGAUCUAUCCAUGGGCAGGUUGAAGGUUGGGUAACACUAACUGGAGGACCGAACCGACUACCGUUGAAAAGUUAGCGGAUGACCUGUGGAUCGGAGUGAAAGGCUAAUCAAGCUCGGAGAUAGCUGGUUCUCCUCGAAAGCUAUUUAGGUAGCGCCUCAUGUAUCACUGUAGGGGGUAGAGCACUGUUUCGGCUAGGGGGUCAUCCCGACUUACCAAACCGAUGCAAACUCCGAAUACCUACAAGUGCCGAGCAUGGGAGACACACGGCGGGUGCUAACGUCCGUCGUGAAAAGGGAAACAACCCAGACCGUCAGCUAAGGUCCCAAAGUCAUGGUUAAGUGGGAAACGAUGUGGGAAGGCUUAGACAGCUAGGAGGUUGGCUUAGAAGCAGCCACCCUUUAAAGAAAGCGUAAUAGCUCACUAGUCGAGUCGGCCUGCGCGGAAGAUGUAACGGGGCUCAAACCAUGCACCGAAGCUACGGGUAUCACUUAGGUGAUGCGGUAGAGGAGCGUUCUGUAAGCCUGUGAAGGUGAGUUGAGAAGCUUGCUGGAGGUAUCAGAAGUGCGAAUGCUGACAUGAGUAACGACAAUGGGUGUGAAAAACACCCACGCCGAAAGACCAAGGUUUCCUGCGCAACGUUAAUCGACGCAGGGUGAGUCGGUCCCUAAGGCGAGGCUGAAAAGCGUAGUCGAUGGAAAACAGGUUAAUAUUCCUGUACUUCUGGUUAUUGCGAUGGAGGGACGGAGAAGGCUAGGCCAGCUUGGCGUUGGUUGUCCAAGUUUAAGGUGGUAGGCUGAAAUCUUAGGUAAAUCCGGGGUUUCAAGGCCGAGAGCUGAUGACGAGUUACCCUUUAGGUGACGAAGUGGUUGAUGCCAUGCUUCCAAGAAAAGCUUCUAAGCUUCAGAUAACCAGGAACCGUACCCCAAACCGACACAGGUGGUUGGGUAGAGAAUACCAAGGCGCUUGAGAGAACUCGGGUGAAGGAACUAGGCAAAAUGGCACCGUAACUUCGGGAGAAGGUGCGCCGGUGAGGGUGAAGGACUUGCUCCGUAAGCUCAUGCCGGUCGAAGAUACCAGGCCGCUGCGACUGUUUAUUAAAAACACAGCACUCUGCAAACACGAAAGUGGACGUAUAGGGUGUGACGCCUGCCCGGUGCCGGAAGGUUAAUUGAUGGGGUUAGCGCAAGCGAAGCUCUUGAUCGAAGCCCCGGUAAACGGCGGCCGUAACUAUAACGGUCCUAAGGUAGCGAAAUUCCUUGUCGGGUAAGUUCCGACCUGCACGAAUGGCGUAACGAUGGCGGCGCUGUCUCCACCCGAGACUCAGUGAAAUUGAAAUCGCUGUGAAGAUGCAGUGUAUCCGCGGCUAGACGGAAAGACCCCGUGAACCUUUACUAUAGCUUUGCACUGGACUUUGAAUUUGCUUGUGUAGGAUAGGUGGGAGGCUUUGAAGCGUGGACGCCAGUUCGCGUGGAGCCAACCUUGAAAUACCACCCUGGCAACUUUGAGGUUCUAACUCAGGUCCGUUAUCCGGAUCGAGGACAGUGUAUGGUGGGUAGUUUGACUGGGGCGGUCUCCUCCUAAAGAGUAACGGAGGAGUACGAAGGUGCGCUCAGACCGGUCGGAAAUCGGUCGUAGAGUAUAAAGGCAAAAGCGCGCUUGACUGCGAGACAGACACGUCGAGCAGGUACGAAAGUAGGUCUUAGUGAUCCGGUGGUUCUGUAUGGAAGGGCCAUCGCUCAACGGAUAAAAGGUACUCCGGGGAUAACAGGCUGAUACCGCCCAAGAGUUCAUAUCGACGGCGGUGUUUGGCACCUCGAUGUCGGCUCAUCACAUCCUGGGGCUGAAGCCGGUCCCAAGGGUAUGGCUGUUCGCCAUUUAAAGUGGUACGCGAGCUGGGUUUAGAACGUCGUGAGACAGUUCGGUCCCUAUCUGCCGUGGACGUUUGAGAUUUGAGAGGGGCUGCUCCUAGUACGAGAGGACCGGAGUGGACGAACCUCUGGUGUUCCGGUUGUCACGCCAGUGGCAUUGCCGGGUAGCUAUGUUCGGAAAAGAUAACCGCUGAAAGCAUCUAAGCGGGAAACUUGCCUCAAGAUGAGAUCUCACUGGAACCUUGA
This 2692-nucleotide ribosomal RNA is filed under the name unidentified. RNAcentral describes it as "bacterial LSU rRNA". It matches the Rfam family "Bacterial large subunit ribosomal RNA". The record is from RNAcentral.